CCCUGGGGUCAACUGCCAGCCUUCAUUCUGAUGUCACCAAAAUUCUUUGCCAAAAUUUUUAUUUGAAAGAGAAAGAGAGGUUCUCCACCUGCUGGUUCAUUCCUCAAAUGCCAACACCAGGCAGAGCUGGGCAAGGCUGAGCCAGGCUGAAGGCAGGAGCUGGGAGCUCAAUUUGCAUUUCCGACAUGGGUGGCAGGAAUCAAAGCAUCAUCGCGUCUGCAGUCCGCAGCCUCCCAGGGUGCGCAUCAGUGAAGGGCGGGUCAGCAGUGGAGCUGGGCUGGGACUUGCACGCAGGUGGCCCAGCUGAUGAAACUAACUGUGCACCCUCAAGAGGCUCUGUAGCCUCUAGCCCAGCACCGCUCGGCGCUCCAGCCCGAGAGCUCCUUCCAUUCUGCCUGUUGGCCCGUUCUCACCCAUAGCCCUUGUUCCUUUCUGGUGGAUUCCUUGCAAGGACCGGGCUCUGAGACUCCAUCACCUGUCACUCAGCACUCCCACCCUCUGCACUGGGCUGGCUCCCUUCCUGCUGGUCUCAUGCUUGGUCUAGCCUGGGCUGCACCCUCCUGGCUCUGCUCGCUCGCUGCUUCCUUGUGAAGCCAUUGACUCUGCCCUGAUCUGAUUUCUCUACAGCCUAGGCAGCUUCCUUGCUUCUCCCCGGCCCCUGCCCCCACUCCGCCCUCUCUGCUCAGCCCCCUGUCCCCUCCCCACAUGCAGGAGCGUCUGGCACAGAAAACCACGAAUGAAAUAAGAAUGGGUCCUUUCUGUAUUUGCUCCGGGAAUGGCACUUCCCAUCUGGUCUCUGUUUGCAAACUCAAAGGGCAAUAUUGAUCCAGGGAAGAGGACUUGGUGCGGGGCAGGGAGACAGAGCUCAGUGAUGCGGUUCACCAUCCAGAAGCUGAGAUGCCCCCUAAAGACGCACCCUAUACCGAAGCCGGAGAGGCAAAGGGGCGACAGCAGGGUCUGUGCGGCCAUGUCAUGGAGCAAAGCCACCAGACUGGGAUGGAGCUUUUGGAGUUGGGACUUCAUAAAAAUGCCUUUGCUCUCCGUUGCCAUGGCUGUGCGGCUGCUGACCGUGAGGAGAGAUGGUCCCUUGGGCUCCUUGCCGCCGGGAAGCCCUUCUCAUGCUAGGGGGUCAGGGCCCCCAGGAGACCUCCUCAAGCUCUUUGCACCUGCCAGGCCUAUGCAGACCCAGGGGGAUGAGGCGCCUUCAGGGAACGCCAAGGUGAGUGAGGUGCGCCUGCCUGCUGUGACAGCCAGGAUGCCCCUUCUCCACUUUGAAGAGAAGAAGUCAGGCGGGGUGGAGACACCCCCAAGAGACCAUUCGCCAACUGAAGAGAAAUCUGGCUGUAAUUCUGCCAGCUGUUAAGACCGGGCAUGUCAUUGUCACCGAAACAGGAGCUUGAAAAUGAGCUACAUCUAAACAGGAAGAUCAAAAGUGCGAAAGCAGGAAUGUCUUGUUUUGGCGGUGGGGUCAGCCCUCAAGACGUCCACAGCCCACACCGGUGUCUGGCUUCGAGUCCCAGCUCCCCCGUCUGACUCCAGCUUCCUGCUAACAGAUCCCGGGGAGACAUCUGUGAUGGCUGAAGUGAUUGCGUUCCUGCCAGCCAUGGGCAGCACCUAGAUUGAGUUUCUGGCUCCCAGAUUUGACUGCAGCCCCACCCCAGGCAUUAUAGGUAUUCGGGGACUGAACCACCGAAUGGAAGCUUGCUUUCUUUUUUCUUCCUUUCUUCCUUUCUUUCUUUCUUUCUUUCUUUCUUUCUUUCUUCCUUUCUUCCUUUCUUCCUUUCUUCCUUUCUUCCUUUCUUCCUUUCUUCCUUUCUUCCUUUCUUCCUUUCUUCCUUUCUUCCUUCCUUCCUUCCUUCCUUCCUUCCUUCCUCUAUCUAUCUAUCUAUCUAUCUACCUAUCAUCUAUCUGUCGCCAUAUAUCUAUAUCUAACCUAUCACCCACCUGUCUGUCUAAUCUGUCAUCUACCUGUUAUCUAUCUCUACUUCUGUCUCUGCCUUGAAAAUACAUUAAAUUUUUUCUUUAAAAUAAAGAACAUGGAAACAUUCA
RNAcentral lists this long non-coding RNA (2049 nucleotides) under Oryctolagus cuniculus (rabbit). Its description in RNAcentral is "lncRNA (ENSOCUG00000035859.1)". Lineage: Eukaryota; Metazoa; Chordata; Mammalia; Lagomorpha; Leporidae. The record is from RNAcentral.